Molecule: non-coding RNA, 727 nt
Organism: Phasianus colchicus (ring-necked pheasant)
Lineage: Eukaryota; Metazoa; Chordata; Aves; Galliformes; Phasianidae
Source: RefSeq, a predicted model, not a curated record
UCUUUCUUUCUUUAAAGAAAAAAAUGAGUCUUUUGCAGUGAUAACAAAAGUCACAGUUCAGAUACUUGCCCUGUCUUACUUUCCAUCCUUUGCAGGCAUUUUUCACUUCAUAUACAGACCUGCGGUUCCCUUUCUUCUCAGCCCAACAAAACAGAAAGCAUAAUGAACCACUUUACACCAACCUUGUGAAAUUUGAGUGUAGAGCUUGCAUCUGGAGCACUGAGGUUGGAAGCAGGUGUACUGGAUUUGCGUGUGUGGGGGGUAUACUGGUAUCUGGCUCUGUGACACAGCAGUGGCUGCAAGGGAACUUAAUCUAUGCAUCCCAUCCCCAUAAAUAGAGCUGUCAGCCUGUGAUUUCCCCAUCUGCUCAUUUCUACAAGCUGCUAACGUGUUUACGUCCAUUCAGCCAGACCAGAGAACCAAGCAGAAGGCUCUCCUUGCUGGUGGACUGAAGAUAAGUACAGUGACUGCGGGAACAGCGAGACACUCAGUGGAAGAACAGGGGAAGAUACGCAGGAACCUGCUGAGAACAGGACCCUUCUGCUUGCCAUCCAGCAAGUCACUGGCCUGAGAAGUGUUUGUUUUCUAGGCAACCGCCAGGCAACACAGAGGAACAGCAGAUAGAUCCCCUACAACACACUUUCUCCAGGACUCCAAAUUCUUGUGUCAUUGACCCAACCCUUACCAGCCGCUUGCCAUUCUUAUGAACUAAGAAUCCUGAGCAUCC